This 497-nucleotide ribosomal RNA is filed under the name uncultured bacterium. Its description in RNAcentral is "partial 16S ribosomal RNA". It matches the Rfam family "Bacterial small subunit ribosomal RNA", at positions 28 to 507 of the family's 1533-position model. The record is from RNAcentral.
GAUGAACGCUGGCGGCGUGCCUAAUACAUGCAAGUCGAGCGAACGGACGAGAAGCUUGCUUCUCUGAUGUUAGCGGAGGACGGGUGAGUAACACGUGGAUAACCUCCUUAUAAGACUGGGAUAACUACGAGAAACCGGAGCUAAUACCGGAUAAUAUUUUGCACCGCAUGGUUCAAAAGUGAAAGACGGCCUUGCUGUCACUUAUCGAUGGAUCCGCGCUGCAUUAGCUAGUUGGUAAGGUAACGGCUUACCAAGGCAACGAUGCAUAGCCGACCUGAGAGGUUGAUCGCCCACACUGGAACUGAGACACGGUCCAGACGCCUAAGGUAAGCCGCAGUAGGGAAUCGGCCGCAAUGGGCGGAAGCCUGACGGAGCAACGCCGCGUGAGUGAUGAAGGUCUUCGGAGCGUAAGACUCUGUUAUUAGGGAAGAACAUAUGUGUAAGUAACUGUGCACAUCUUGACGGUACCUAAUCAGAAAGCCACGGCUAACUACGUG